RNAcentral lists this ribosomal RNA (460 nucleotides) under uncultured bacterium. RNAcentral's name for it is "partial 16S ribosomal RNA". It matches the Rfam family "Bacterial small subunit ribosomal RNA", at positions 338 to 795 of the family's 1533-position model. The record is from RNAcentral.
CCUACGGGAGGCAGCAGUGAGGAAUAUUGGUCAAUGGACGAGAGUCUGAACCAGCCAAGUAGCGUGAAGGAUGACUGCCCUAUGGGUUGUAAACUUCUUUUAUAUGGGAAUAAAACGUUCCACGUGUGGGAUUUUGUAUGUACCAUAUGAAUAAGGAUCGGCUAACUCCGUGCCAGCAGCCGCGGUAAUACGGAGGAUCCGAGCGUUAUCCGGAUUUAUUGGGUUUAAAGGGAGCGUAGGUGGAUUGUUAAGUCAGUUGUGAAAGUUUCCGGCUCAACCGUAAAAUUGCAGUUGAAACUGGCAGUCUUGAGUACAGUAGAGGUGGGCGGAAUUCGUGGUGUAGCGGUGAAAUGCUUAGAUAUCACGAAGAACUCCGAUUGCGAAGGCAGUUCACUGGACUGCAACUGACACUGAGGCUCGAAAGUGUGGGUAUCAAACAGGAUUAGAUACCCUAGUAGUC